This 69-nucleotide microRNA precursor is filed under the name Marmota monax (woodchuck). Lineage: Eukaryota; Metazoa; Chordata; Mammalia; Rodentia; Sciuridae. The record is from RNAcentral.
UACUGCUGCUACUGAACAUGAUGAUGAUGAUGAUGAUGAUCAUCAUCAUCAUCAUCAUGAUCGUGAUCA